RNAcentral lists this ribosomal RNA (302 nucleotides) under uncultured bacterium. RNAcentral's name for it is "bacterial SSU rRNA". It matches the Rfam family "Bacterial small subunit ribosomal RNA", at positions 30 to 334 of the family's 1533-position model. The record is from RNAcentral.
AUUGAACGCUGGCGGCAGGCCUAACACAUGCAAGUCGAGCGAGAAAUCACUUCGGUGAGAGUACAGCGGCGGACGGGUGAGUAACGCGUAGGAAUCUACCUGGUAGUGGGGGGACAACAUGUGGAAACGCAUGCUAAUACCGCAUACGACCUAAGGGUGUAAGCGGGGGACCUUCGGGCCUCGCGCUAUCGGAUGAGCCUGCGUUGGAUUAGCUAGUUGGUGGGGUAAAGGCUCACCAAGGCGACGAUCCAUAGCUGGUCUGAGAGGAUGAUCAGCCACACUGGGACUGAGACACGGCCCAG